CAGUAGCCGCGGUAAUACGUAGGGUGCAAGCGUUAAUCGGAAUUACUGGGCGUAAAGCGUGCGCAGACGGUUCGCUAAGACAGAUGUGAAAUCCCCGGGCUUAACCUGGGAACUGCAUUUGUGACUGGCGGGCUAGAGUAUGGCAGAGGGGGGUAGAAUUCCACGUGUAGCAGUGAAAUGCGUAGAGAUGUGGAGGAAUACCGGUGGCGAAGGCAGCCCCCUGGGCCAAUACUGACGCUCAUGCACGAAAGCGUGGGGAGCAAACAGGAUUAGAGACCCGUGUAGUCCCUGUCUCUUAUAA
RNAcentral lists this ribosomal RNA (301 nucleotides) under uncultured bacterium. RNAcentral's name for it is "partial 16S ribosomal RNA". It matches the Rfam family "Bacterial small subunit ribosomal RNA", at positions 509 to 809 of the family's 1533-position model. The record is from RNAcentral.